Molecule: ribosomal RNA, 507 nt
Filed under: Triticum aestivum (bread wheat)
Lineage: Eukaryota; Viridiplantae; Streptophyta; Magnoliopsida; Poales; Poaceae
Description: partial small subunit ribosomal RNA
Source: RNAcentral
AUGGGCCCUGAUUGUAUCCCCAUUGAGGUGUGGAAAGGUCUCGGGGACAUAGCGAUAGUAUGGCUAACCAAGCUUUUCAACCUCAUUUUUCGGGCAAAUAAGAUGCCAGAAGAAUGGAGACGGAGUAUAUUAGUACCAAUCUUCAAGAACAAGGGGGAUGUUCAGAGUUGUACUAAUUACCGUGGAAUUAAGCUGAUGAGCCAUACAAUGAAGCUAUGGGAGAGAGACAUUGAGAACCGCUUAAGAAGAAUGACAAGCGUGACCAAAAAUCAAUUUGGUUUCAUGCCUGAGAGGUCGACCAUGGAAGCCAUUUUCUUGGUACGACAACUUAUGGAGAGAUAUAGGGAGCAAAAGAAGGACUUGCACAUGGUGUUCAUUGACUUGGAGAAGGCCUAUGAUAAGAUACCACGGAAUGUCAUGUGGUGGGCCUUGGAGAAACACAAAGUCCCAGCAAAGUACAUUACACUCAUCAAGGACAUGUACGAUAAUGUUGUGACAAGUGUUUGA